RNAcentral lists this small RNA (1044 nucleotides) under Pan troglodytes (chimpanzee). Its description in RNAcentral is "retained intron". Lineage: Eukaryota; Metazoa; Chordata; Mammalia; Primates; Hominidae. The record is from RNAcentral.
CACAACACCUACCUGCUGGAGGACCAGCUAGCCGGGCCCAGCAGCACUGAAGCCUACAUCCGGGCACUGUGCAAAGGCUGCCGAUGCCUGGAGCUUGACUGCUGGGACGGGCCCAACCAGGAACCAAUCAUCUACCACGGCUAUACUUUCACUUCCAAGAUCCUCUUCUGCGAUGUGCUCAGGGCCAUCCGGGACUAUGCCUUCAAGGUGGGAGUGCCCCUGGCAGGUGAGGAGUGGGAUGCUAGGGGUGGCCCACCACUCCUAAUGUGCCCUUGGGCCUCCAGGCGUCCCCCUACCCUGUCAUCCUAUCCCUGGAGAACCACUGCACACUGGAGCAGCAGCGCGUGAUGGCGCGGCACCUGCACGCCAUCCUGGGCCCCAUGCUGUUGAACCGACCACUGGAUGGGAUCACCAACAGCCUGCCCUCCCCUGAGCAACUGAAGGGGAAGAUCCUGCUGAAGGGGAAGAAGCUCGGGGGGCUCCUGCCCCCUGCAGGGGAGGGUGGCCCUGAGGCCACUGUGGUGUCAGACGAAGACGAGGCUGCUGAGAUGGAGGAUGAGGCAGUGAGGAGCCGUGUGCAGCACAAGCCCAAGGAGGACAAGCUCAGGCUAGCACAGGAGCUCUCUGACAUGGUCAUUUACUGCAAGAGUGUCCACUUUGGGGGCUUCUCCAGUCCUGGCACCCCUGGGCAGGCCUUCUACGAGAUGGCGUCCUUCUCUGAGAACCGUGCCCUUCGACUGCUCCAAGAAUCAGGAAACGGCUUUGUCCGCCACAACGUGGGGCACCUGAGCAGAAUCUACCCGGCUGGAUGGAGAACAGACUCCUCCAACUACAGCCCCGUGGAGAUGUGGAAUGGGGGCUGCCAGAUCGUGGCCCUGAAUUUCCAGACACCUGGGCCAGAGAUGGACGUGUACCAGGGCCGCUUCCAGGACAACGGGGCCUGUGGGUACGUGCUGAAGCCCGCCUUCCUGCGAGACCCCAACGGCACCUUUAACCCCCGCGCCCUGGCUCAGGGGCCCUGGUGGGCACGGAAGCGGCUCAACA